CCUACGGGAGGCAGCAGUGGGGAAUAUUGCACAAUGGGGGAAACCCUGAUGCAGCGACGCCGCGUGAGUGAAGAAGUAUUUCGGUAUGUAACGCUCUAUCAGCAGGGAAGAAAAUGACGGUACCUGAUUAAGCAGCCCCGGCUAACUACGUGCCAGCAGCCGCGGUAAUACGUAGGGGGCAAGCGUUCUCCGGAUUUACUGGGUGUAAGGGGAGCGUAGACGGCAGCACAAGUCUGGAGUGAAAUGCCGGGGCUUAACCCCGGAACUGCUUUGGAAACUGUGCAGCUAGAGUGCAGGAGAGGUAAGUGGAAGUCCUGGUGUAGCGGUGAAAUGCGUAGAGAUUAGGAGGAACACCAGUGGCGAAGGCGGCUUACUGGACUGUAACUGACGUUGAGGCUCGAAAGCGUGGGGAGCAAACAGGAUUAGAUACCCCUGUAGUC
Molecule: ribosomal RNA, 440 nt
Filed under: uncultured bacterium
Lineage: Bacteria
Description: partial 16S ribosomal RNA
Rfam family: Bacterial small subunit ribosomal RNA
Source: RNAcentral